Molecule: ribosomal RNA, 740 nt
Filed under: uncultured Thermoproteales archaeon
Lineage: Archaea; Thermoproteati; Thermoproteota; Thermoprotei; Thermoproteales
Description: bacterial SSU rRNA
Rfam family: Archaeal small subunit ribosomal RNA
Source: RNAcentral
CGGCCGAUCCGCCGCCAUCCGCCCCGGGAUGGGGGCACGGCCCAUCAGGUAGUUGGCGGGUUAAAGGCCCGCCAAGCCGAAGACGGGUAGGGGCGGUGAGAGCCGCGAGCCCCGAGAUCGGCACUGAGACAAGGGCCGAGGCCCUACGGGGUGCAGCAGGCGCGAAUACUCCGCAAUGCGGGCAACCGCGACGGGGCUACCCCGAGUGCCGGGCGAAGAGCCCGGCUUUUGCCCGGUCUAAAAAGCCGGGAGAAUAAGCGGGGGGCAAGUCUGGUGUCAGCCGCCGCGGUAAUACCAGCUCCGCGAGUGGUCGGGGUGUUUACUGGGCUUAAAGCGCCCGUAGCCGGCCCGGCAAGUCGCUCCUGAAAUCCCCGGGCUCAACCCGGGGGCGGGGGGCGAUACUGCCGGGCUAGGGGGCGGGAGAGGCCGCCGGUACUCCGGGGGUAGGGGCGAAAUCCGUUAAUCCCCGGAGGACCACCAGUGGCGAAAGCGGGCGGCCAGAACGCGCCCGACGGUGAGGGGCGAAAGCCGGGGGAGCAAAGGGGAUUAGAUACCCCUGUAGUCCCGGCCGUAAACGAUGCGGGCUAGCUGUCGGCCGGGCUUAGGGCCCGGCCGGUGGCGAAGGGAAACCGUUAAGCCCGCCGCCUGGGGAGUACGGCCGCAAGGCUGAAACUUAAAGGAAUUGGCGGGGGGGCACCACAAGGGGUGAAGCUUGCGGCUUAAUUGGAGUCAACGCCGGA